CAAAAUGUAGCUUAGGUAAAGCCUCUCGCUUACACCGAGAAGACGUCUGUUAGCCCAGAUCAUUUUGA
This 68-nucleotide transfer RNA is filed under the name Phrynoglossus myanhessei. RNAcentral describes it as "tRNA-Val". It matches the Rfam family "tRNA". Rfam says of the family: Transfer RNA (tRNA) molecules are approximately 80 nucleotides in length. Lineage: Eukaryota; Metazoa; Chordata; Amphibia; Anura; Dicroglossidae. The record is from RNAcentral.